UCGAUGUCUCUGACUCAAAGAAUAUUUCCAACAUACCUCUGAACAGCAUACUAAACCACAGAAUCCCCCCUACCAGCACUACAAAAAAGGGGAUUCUGCGUGGACUCCUCCAGACGGUCGAAACAACAGACUGGAUUUCUACAUAGAUUGCUUCCGUCGACGUGCAAAGGCUGAAAUUGUGGAAAAGGAACAUCACUUGCCCCAUAACCUCAGCCAUGCUGAACACAACGCCAUCUACAGCCUCAGAAACAACCCUGACAUCAUAAUCAAAAAGGCUGACAAAGGAGGUGCUGUUGUCGUCAUGAAUAAAUUGGAAUAUGACCAAGAGGCUGCUAGACAGCUCUCUAACACCACAUUCUACAGACCAUUAUCCUCUGAUCCCACUGAGGAUUAUCUAAAGAAACUACACCAUCUGCUAAAAAAAUUCCCUGACAAAGCACAGGAACAAAUCUGUACAGACACAUGCCUAGAACCCCGACCAGGGGUAUUCUAUUUGCUACCCAAGAUCCAUAAACCUGGAAAUUCUGAACGCCCCAUCAUCUCAGGCAUUGGCACCCUAACAUCAGGCUUGUCUGGUUAUGUGGACUCUCUCCUCAGACCCUGUGCUACCAGCACUCCCAGCUAUCUUCGAGACACCACUGACUUCCUGAGGAAACUACAAUCCAUCGGUGAUCUUCCAGAAAACACCAUCCUGACCACUAUGGACGUAGAAGCCCUCUACACCAAUAUUCCACACAAAGAUGGAUUACAAGCUAUCAGGAACAGUAUCCCCGAUAAUGUCACAGCUAACCUGGUGGCUGAACUUUGUGACUUUGUCCUCUCCCACAAGUAUUUCACAUUUGGGGACAAUAUAUACCUUCAAGUCAGCGGCACUGUUAUGGGUACCCACAUGGCCCCACAGUAUGCCAACAUUUUUAUGGCUGAUUUAGAACAACACUUCCUUAGCUUUCGUCCCCUAACGCCCCUAGUCUACUUGCGCUACAUUGAUGACAUCUUCAUCAUCUGGACCCAUGAAAAAGAAGCCCUUGAGGAAUUCCACCAUGAUUUCAAUAAUUUCCAUCCCACCAUCAACCUCAGCCUAGAUCAAUCCAUACAAGCGGUCCAUUUCCUGGACACUACAGUGCUAAUAAGCGAUGGUCACAUAAAUACCACCCUAUACCAGAAACCUACUGACUGCUACACUUACCUACAUGCCUCCAGCUUCCAUCCAGGACACGCCACACGAUCCAUUGUCUACAGCCAAGCUCUAAGAUAUAACCGCAUUUGCUCCAAUCCCUCAGAUAGAGACAAGCACCUACAAGAUCUCUAUCAAGCAUUCUUAAAACUACAAUACCCACCUGCUGAAGUGAAAAAACAGAUUGACAGAGCCAGAAGAGUACCCAGAAG
This 1386-nucleotide long non-coding RNA is filed under the name Chrysemys picta bellii (western painted turtle). RNAcentral describes it as "lncRNA (ENSCPBG00000001907.1)". Lineage: Eukaryota; Metazoa; Chordata; Testudines; Emydidae. The record is from RNAcentral.